RNAcentral lists this transfer RNA (73 nucleotides) under Nocardioides sp. Its description in RNAcentral is "tRNA-Pro". It matches the Rfam family "tRNA". From Rfam's summary of the family: Transfer RNA (tRNA) molecules are approximately 80 nucleotides in length. Their secondary structure includes four short double-helical elements and three loops (D, anti-codon, and T loops). The record is from RNAcentral. Lineage: Bacteria; Bacillati; Actinomycetota; Actinomycetes; Propionibacteriales; Nocardioidaceae.
GCCCCUUUAGCUCAGUCGGCAGAGGGUCUCCAUGGGAAGGAGAAGGUCUACGGUUCGAUUCCGUAAAGGGGCU